This 746-nucleotide ribosomal RNA is filed under the name Psychrobacter celer. Its description in RNAcentral is "bacterial SSU rRNA". It matches the Rfam family "Bacterial small subunit ribosomal RNA", at positions 388 to 1124 of the family's 1533-position model. Lineage: Bacteria; Pseudomonadati; Pseudomonadota; Gammaproteobacteria; Moraxellales; Moraxellaceae. The record is from RNAcentral.
CCAGCCAUGCCGCGUGUGUGAAGAAGGCCUUUUGGUUGUAAAGCACUUUAAGCAGUGAAGAAGACCUAACGGUUAAUACCCGUUAGCGAUGACAUUAGCUGCAGAAUAAGCACCGGCUAACUCUGUGCCAGCAGCCGCGGUAAUACAGAGGGUGCAAGCGUUAAUCGGAAUUACUGGGCGUAAAGCGAGCGUAGGUGGCUUGAUAAGUCAGAUGUGAAAUCCCCGGGCUUAACCUGGGAACUGCAUCUGAUACUGUUAAGCUAGAGUAGGUGAGAGGGAAGUAGAAUUCCAGGUGUAGCGGUGAAAUGCGUAGAGAUCUGGAGGAAUACCGAUGGCGAAGGCAGCUUCCUGGCAUCAUACUGACACUGAGGCUCGAAAGCGUGGGUAGCAAACAGGAUUAGAUACCCUGGUAGUCCACGCCGUAAACGAUGUCUACUAGUCGUUGGGUCCCUUGAGGACUUAGUGACGCAGCUAACGCAAUAAGUAGACCGCCUGGGGAGUACGGCCGCAAGGUUAAAACUCAAAUGAAUUGACGGGGGCCCGCACAAGCGGUGGAGCAUGUGGUUUAAUUCGAUGCAACGCGAAGAACCUUACCUGGUCUUGACAUACACAGAAUCUUGUAGAGAUACGAGAGUGCCUUCGGGAAUUGUGAUACAGGUGCUGCAUGGCUGUCGUCAGCUCGUGUCGUGAGAUGUUGGGUUAAGUCCCGCACGCGGCCAAACCCACAAAUCUCACGACACGAGCUG